GACGAACCGUGCGAACGUUGUUCGGAAUCACUGGGCUUAAAGGGCGCGUAGGCGGGCCGACAAGUCCGGGGUGAAAGCCCCCAGCUUAACUGGGGAAGCGCCUUGGAUACUGCCGGUCUGGAGGGAGGUAGGGGCGUGCGGAACUUCCGGUGGAGCGGUGAAAUGCGUAGAUAUCGGAAGGAACACCGGUGGCGAAAGCGGCGCGCUGGACCUCUUCUGACGCUGAGGCGCGAAAGCCAGGGGAGCAAACGGG
Molecule: ribosomal RNA, 253 nt
Filed under: uncultured bacterium
Lineage: Bacteria
Description: partial 16S ribosomal RNA
Rfam family: Bacterial small subunit ribosomal RNA
Source: RNAcentral